This 638-nucleotide ribosomal RNA is filed under the name uncultured bacterium. RNAcentral describes it as "bacterial SSU rRNA". It matches the Rfam family "Bacterial small subunit ribosomal RNA", at positions 190 to 847 of the family's 1533-position model. The record is from RNAcentral.
UCAGUUAAUAUUGAAAACUCCGGGUGGAUAGAGAUGGGCACGCGCAAGAUUAGAUAGUGUAGGGUAACGGCCUACCAAGUCAGUGAUCUUUAGGGGGCCUGAGAGGGUGAUCCCCCCACUGGUACUGAGACACGGACCAGACUCCUACGGGAGGCAGCAGUGAGGAAUAUUGGAAUGGGUGAGAGCCUGAUCCAGCCAUCCCGCGUGAAGGACGACGGCCCUAUGGGUUGUACUUCUUUUGUAUAGGGAUAAACCUACUCUCGUGAGAGUAGCUGAAGGUACUAUACGAAAGCACCGGCUAACUCCGUGCCAGCAGCCGCGGUAAUACGGAGGGUGCAAGCGUUAUCCAUUUAUUGGGUUUAAAGGGUCCGUAGGCGGAUCUGUAAGUCAGUGGUGAAAUCUCAUAUUAACUAUGAAACUGCCAUUGAUACUGCAGGUCUUGAGUAAAGUAGAAGUGGCUGGAAAGUAGUGUAGCGGUGAAAUGCAUAGAUAUUACUUAGAACACCAAUUGCGAAGGCAGGUCUAUGUUUUAACUGACGCUGAUGGACGAAAGCGUGGGGAGCGAACGAGGAUUAGAUACUGGUAGUCCACGCCGUAAACGAUGCUAACUUCGUUUUUGGGCUUUAGGGUUCAGAGAC